RNAcentral lists this long non-coding RNA (530 nucleotides) under Mus spicilegus (steppe mouse). RNAcentral describes it as "lncRNA (ENSMSIG00000017379.1)". Lineage: Eukaryota; Metazoa; Chordata; Mammalia; Rodentia; Muridae. The record is from RNAcentral.
GUUGUCUGUGGCCAGGGUGGGGGAAGCGGGGCGGUUGGGUGAUGACAGAACAAGGGAGAAACAGACUGAGACAGAGAGAAAAAAAAAAGUGACUUUCCAUCUGAAAGAUCAAAUAAGGCUCUGGAUGAUUGCUACGAUGCUGGAGAAAACCUUGACAGAGGAAGUGCUGCGUAGCCAAUCUCCAUUGCAGAGAGGCUCCACUGCAGGGACCCAGAAUUCUUAAGCUACCAACCUUGAGAUGGCAACUGUUUUCAUUUUUGUACCCAACAGAGCAUAGCCUCACAUUCAUCCUUCUCUUCUGGGAUGAGUGUGGAAUGCACAAGUCCUGAAAUGUCUUCUCUUAGAAGACAUUCUAAGAAUUCCAUUAGAUAAGCAUGAACUGGGCACCUCUACGUGCCAGGCAUUUGACAGGGAGAGGAGACCGAGAUGGGUAACAUUCAGUUUCGUGUGCAUGGCACUUUUAGUUGGUGCAAAUGAAAGAUGAGACCCCUGUAAAUAAAUAGAAGGCAGAUUUUAGCUGAUCUGGCUUU